RNAcentral lists this ribosomal RNA (448 nucleotides) under uncultured bacterium. RNAcentral's name for it is "bacterial SSU rRNA". It matches the Rfam family "Bacterial small subunit ribosomal RNA", at positions 64 to 507 of the family's 1533-position model. The record is from RNAcentral.
GAACGGCAGCACGGGGGCAACCCUGGUGGCGAGUGGCGAACGGGUGAGUAAUACAUCGGAACGUGUCCUGGAGUGGGGGAUAGCCCGGCGAAAGCCGGAUUAAUACCGCAUACGCUCUGUGGAGGAAAGCGGGGGAUCUUCGGACCUCGCGCUCAAGGGGCGGCCGAUGGCAGAUUAGCUAGUUGGUGGGGUAAAGGCCUACCAAGGCGACGAUCUGUAGCUGGUCUGAGAGGACGACCAGCCACACUGGGACUGAGACACGGCCCAGACUCCUACGGGAGGCAGCAGUGGGGAAUUUUGGACAAUGGGGGCAACCCUGAUCCAGCAAUGCCGCGUGUGUGAAGAAGGCCUUCGGGUUGUAAAGCACUUUUGUCCGGAAAGAAAACCUCCGGGUUAAUACCCUGGGGGGAUGACGGUACCGGAAGAAUAAGCACCGGCUAACUACGUG